AGUUCUCGGGCUUCGGCCCGACUCUCCCACCCUUUGUGAACGUACCUCUGUUGCUUUGGCGGCUCCGGCCGCCAAAGGACCUUCAAACUCCAGUCAGUAAACGCAGACGUCUGAUAAACAAGUUAAUAAACUAAAACUUUCAACAACGGAUCUCUUGGUUCUGGCAUCGAUGAAGAACGCAGCGAAAUGCGAUAAGUAAUGUGAAUUGCAGAAUUCAGUGAAUCAUCGAAUCUUUGAACGCACAUUGCGCCCCUUGGUAUUCCGGGGGGCAUGCCUGUUCGAGCGUCAUUACAACCCUCAAGCUCUGCUUGGAAUUGGGCACCGUCCUCACUGCGGACGCGCCUCAAAGACCUCGGCGGUGGCUGUUCAGCCCUCAAGCGUAGUAGAAUACACCUCGCUUUGGAGCGGUUGGCGUCGCCCGCCGGACGAACCUUCUGAACUUUUCUCAAGGUUGACCUCGGAUCAGGUAGGGAUACCCGCUGAACUUAAGCAUAUC
This 496-nucleotide ribosomal RNA is filed under the name Lasiodiplodia gilanensis. RNAcentral's name for it is "eukaryotic LSU rRNA". The stretch from base 135 to 288 matches the Rfam family "5.8S ribosomal RNA". The record is from RNAcentral. Lineage: Eukaryota; Fungi; Ascomycota; Dothideomycetes; Botryosphaeriales; Botryosphaeriaceae.